Molecule: non-coding RNA, 158 nt
Organism: Gossypium raimondii (Peruvian cotton)
Lineage: Eukaryota; Viridiplantae; Streptophyta; Magnoliopsida; Malvales; Malvaceae
Source: Rfam
CCGACCUUAGCUCAGUUGGUAGAGCGGAUGACUGUAGUAGGUUGCAACCUUCCGCUAAUCCUCAGUUCGCUGGUUCAAAUCUGGUAGGGCUGAGGGCUGUAGUCGGUUGUAAGCUUUAGCUAAUCCUUAGGUCACUGGUUCGAAUCCCGUAGGUCGGA